AAUCGAACCCGGAGAUAGCUGGUUCUCCUCGAAAUAGCUUUAGGGCUAGCCUCGAUGGAGUCUUACGGAGGUAGAGCACUGAAUUUCUAAGGGGGCGUCAAAGCUUACCAAGGGAUAUCAAACUCCGAAUGCCGUAAAGAUGCUCAUCGGGAGUCAGACUGCACGAGAUAAGUUGGGCAGUCAAAAGGGAAAGAGCCCAGACCUGCUGCUAAGGUCCCAAAGUACGUGUUAAGUGGAAAAGGAUGUGGGAUUUCGAAGACAACUAGGAUGUUGGCUCAGAAGCAGCCACACAUUCAAAGAGUGCGUAAUAGCUCACUAGUCGAGAGGUCCUGCGCCGAAAAUGUCCGGGGCUGAAACACGACACCGAAGCACAGGAUACCGCAAGGUAUGGUAGAGGAGCAUUGCUGGCGCAACGAAGCAGUACCGGAAGGAGCUGUGGAGUGCCAGGAAGAGAGAAUGCCGGAAUGAGUAGCGAGAGAGAGGUGGGAAUCCUCUCGGCCGAAUAUCCAAGGUUUCCAGGGUAAAGCUGAUCUGCCCUGGGUAAGUCGGGGCCUAAGGAGAGGCAGAAAUGCGUAUCCGAUGGACAGCAGGUUGAGAUUCCUGCACUAUCUUAAAACAGAACUGUGGGGACAUUUGUGGAGAGCACAGGCGCGGAACGGAAAGCCGCGUGCAAGCGAAGGAGGAGUCACAUAGGAAAAACCGUGUGGCAAUCCAAAGGCGUGAUGCGGACCGAACUAAAGUAGGGAAGUGUGUGAGCCAUGAAUCAAGAAAAGCCGCUAUUGUUUUUAAGAUACCCGUACCGUAAACCGACACAGGUGGAUGAGGAGAGAAUCCUAAGGCCGGCGGAAGAAGCAUUGUUAAGGAACUCGGCAAAAUGACCCCGUAACUUCGGGAGAAGGGGUGCCAACGAGAGUUGGCCGCAGAGAAUAGGCUCAAGCAACUGUUUAGCAAAAACACAGGUCUAUGCAAAACCGUAAGGUGAGGUAUAUGGGCUGACGCCUGCCCGGUGCUGGAAGGUUAAGAGGAGAGGUUAGCGCAAGCGAAGCUUUGAAUUUAAGCCCCAGUAAACGGCGGCCGUAACUAUAACGGUCCUAAGGUAGCGAAAUUCCUUGUCGGGUAAGUUCCGACCCGCACGAAAGGCGUAAUGAUUUGAGCGCUGUCUCGACAAUGCAUCCGGUGAAAUUGAAGUACCAGUGAAGAUGCUGGUUACCCGCGCCAGGACGGAAAGACCCCAUGGAGCUUUACUCCAGUUUGGUACUGGGGUCCGGCAGUGCAUGUACAGGAUAGGUGGGAGGCUGUGAACCUGGAACGCCAGUUUCAGGGGAGCCAUUGUUGGGAUACCACCCUUGUGCUGCUGGGCUUCUAACCAGCGGCCUUUAUCAGGCCGGGGGACAAUGCCAGACGGGGAGUUUGACUGGGGCGGUCGCCUCCGAAAGGGUAUCGGAGGCGCUCAAAGGUUCCCUCAGAAUGGUCGGAAACCAUUCGAAGAGUGCAAAGGCAGAAGGGAGCUUGACUGCGACACCGACGGGUGGAGCAGGUACGAAAGUAGGACUUAGUGAUCCGGUGGUAUUAAGUGGGAAUGCCAUCGCUCAACGGAUAAAAGCUACCCUGGGGAUAACAGGCUUAUCACUCCCAAGAGUUCACAUCGACGGAGUGGUUUGGCACCUCGAUGUCGGCUCAUCGCAUCCUGGGGCUGUAGUAGGUCCCAAGGGUUGGGCUGUUCGCCCAUUAAAGCGGUACGCGAGCUGGGUUCAGAACGUCGUGAGACAGUUCGGUCCCUAUCCGGCGUGGGCGUAGGAUAUUUGAGAGGAGCUGUCCUUAGUACGAGAGGACCGGGAUGGACUGACCUCUGGUGUACCGGUUGAACCGCCAGGUUCACGGCCGGGUAGCCAAGUCGGGAAGGGAUAAACGCUGAAGGCAUCUAAGCGUGAAGCCCCCCUCAAGAUGAGAUAUCCCAUUCGAAAGAAGUAAGACCCCUUGA
This 1981-nucleotide ribosomal RNA is filed under the name human gut metagenome. RNAcentral's name for it is "bacterial LSU rRNA". It matches the Rfam family "Bacterial large subunit ribosomal RNA", at positions 831 to 2841 of the family's 2925-position model. The record is from RNAcentral.